RNAcentral lists this ribosomal RNA (1012 nucleotides) under uncultured bacterium. RNAcentral describes it as "bacterial SSU rRNA". It matches the Rfam family "Bacterial small subunit ribosomal RNA", at positions 355 to 1375 of the family's 1533-position model. The record is from RNAcentral.
UGGGGAAUAUUGCACAAUGGGCGCAAGCCUGAUGCAGCGACGCCGCGUGCGGGAUGACGGCCUUCGGGUUGUAAACCGCUUUUGAUCGGGAGCAAGCCUUCGGGUGAGUGUACCUUUCGAAUAAGCACCGGCUAACUACGUGCCAGCAGCCGCGGUAAUACGUAGGGUGCAAGCGUUAUCCGGAAUUAUUGGGCGUAAAGGGCUCGUAGGCGGUUCGUCGCGUCCGGUGUGAAAGUCCAUCGCUUAACGGUGGAUCUGCGCCGGGUACGGGCGGGCUGGAGUGCGGUAGGGGAGACUGGAAUUCCCGGUGUAACGGUGGAAUGUGUAGAUAUCGGGAAGAACACCAAUGGCGAAGGCAGGUCUCUGGGCCGUUACUGACGCUGAGGAGCGAAAGCGUGGGGAGCGAACAGGAUUAGAUACCCUGGUAGUCCACGCCGUAAACGGUGGAUGCUGGAUGUGGGGCCCGUUCCACGGGUUCCGUGUCGGAGCUAACGCGUUAAGCAUCCCGCCUGGGGAGUACGGCCGCAAGGCUAAAACUCAAAGAAAUUGACGGGGGCCCGCACAAGCGGCGGAGCAUGCGGAUUAAUUCGAUGCAACGCGAAGAACCUUACCUGGGCUUGACAUGUUCCCGACAGCCGUAGAGAUGCGGCCUCCCUUCGGGGCGGGUUCACAGGUGGUGCAUGGUCGUCGUCAGCUCGUGUCGUGAGAUGUUGGGUUAAGUCCCGCAACGAGCGCAACCCUCGCCCUGUGUUGCCAGCACGUCAUGGUGGGAACUCACGGGGGACCGCCGGGGUCAACUCGGAGGAAGGUGGGGAUGACGUCAGAUCAUCAUGCCCCUUACGUCCAGGGCUUCACGCAUGCUACAAUGGCCGGUACAACGGGAUGCGACAUGGCGACAUGGAGCGGAUCCCUGAAAACCGGUCUCAGUUCGGAUUGGAGUCUGCAACCCGACUCCAUGAAGGCGGAGUCGCUAGUAAUCGCGGAUCAGCAACGCUGCGGUGAAUGCGUUCCC